UUAUUAUCACAAACGUUUAUUGAGUGCCCAUAGAACUCACUGCACCUUUAUGGUGUUUACAGAGCUUUGCUUAUAUGCUGACCUUGCCCUUCAAGGAGCUUACAAUCUAGUGGAGAGAAAGACGGAGAAACGCAGUGUGGUAGUGCAAUGAGUGAACAGACAUUAGAGACGGAAAAAUAUUCCAUAAAUGUAAAAGAUAUCCUGCAAAACAAGGUUUAUGGGGAUGGCAUAGUCUUAGAUAUAUUCCUUAUUUCUUGGGAGAUAUCUAGAAUAUUCAAGGGACUUAUGAAGUUGAGAAAAACCAGGACGAAAACAAGACACUUUCUGCUACCUCUUUCUUGGCUCCCUGCAGCUGGGAGAAUGAAGAUGGGACAGUUAAUGGGGAAACAAACUUUGCAGUACUUUUUGCAUGUCUGGAUGGACUGACUAGGACAAAGCUACUAUUUAGGUAACCUGCUGUGGAUAAUCCUAAACUAGUUCAAAGGGGGAAAAGAUAAGUUUCUUUGCACCAUUCUGAGUACACCUAUAAAGCUUAAACUAAAAUGUUAAGAUAACCUAAACCAUCCAUUAUGUUAAAGAUAACUGGUCUGGAUACAAUAGAGACAUGGGAGAAUUCCUAGUUACACAGGCAGUGCACCUUGAACACCCCACUGGGGGGUGUUACAUUUGUGCAGAAUACACCUUUUAUGGAGGCAGCACACUGGCAGAUCCAAAAGGAAAUGACUAGACAGAAAACACCCAGCAUAGGUAGUUUUCUUUUCUUUUGUUGAGACGAGGUCUCACUGCGUAGUCCAGGCUGGCCUUAAAUUCACUGUGUAGCCCAGGCUGGCCUCAAACUCAUGCCUCCUGCCUCAGCCUCCCAAGUGCUGGGAUUACACACAUGUGCCAACAUGCCCAGAUAUAGGUAAGUUUUAUGUUGAGGCGAAUGGGUGGCCAAUCCUUAAGGAAGAAGAUGUUGAUACUGUGGGAGAGUAUUUUGAUUCCACCCCCAAUUAUGAGUUAAAAUGUUUAAGAGAACUCCCUCUUUAGCCAAGUCUAAGAGCUGGGUUGUAUUAUUGUUCCUAAAGAGUAAAAAGGAGGGCUGGGGAUGUAGCUCAGUGGUAGAAUGAGUCCUUAGUAUGCAAAAAGCCAGUAAUAUUUUAAUUAUUUUGUUUUCUAAACUCCUGGCUUAUCCACUACCCCAAUGUGGGUUCUCAAAUAUCAUCAAAUGUAGAAAUGAAUAAGCUUUCUGCCUUUACUUGCAGCAAACCUUAAAGGGCAAUUCCCCUUAGACAAUACACACCUUGUACCUAGGGUUAUUCUGUGUGUACACACACAUACACAGAGGCAACUAUGUAAAAAGGAUGUGCCAAGGGUGGCUCACAGGUUCAAAACUUAAAAGCACAAUGGAGAGGACAGGACACUGAGGGCAUUAUCUGGAAGGAAACGAGAUCAAGUGGAGCACAAAAGCAUGUAAGAUUAUUGGAGUGUCCCCCGACCCCUGCACUGGGGAUUGAACCCAGUGCCUUCACUCUGAGCUACAUCCCUAGCCCUUUGAGGCAGGGUCUUGCUAAGUCACCCAGACUGGGCUUGAACUUGUGAUUCUCCUGGAGUGCUGAGAUUCCAUACCAAUGGUGAUUACUUGCUUUAAAAACAGGUUGGAGGAAAUCGGGUAAAAUUAGAGAGUAACUAUAGUCAAGGAUAAUCAGUCAGCUAUUGCUAUGGUCUGAUUUGGGUUCAGUGCUACCCAGUACUUCAUGUGUUGUAAUUUCUCUGAGGUAUUAAGAGGGUGGAAACUUAAUCUGACUAUAGUGUUUGCUGGGGCAGUGAUAUGAGAAUGCUUAGGGUUUAACAGAUAAGGUCACUAGAAUUGAGCGCUUAUGACUAAAUUCCUGUCUCUCUGUAAGAGGGAGAGACUAGAUGGACACACACACACACACACACACAACUUACACACUUCCUGUCUUUUGCCAUGUGAUGCUCCAUCACCAGAUGUGGCACCUUGACCUUGGGCCAGAACUCUUGAACCAAAAUAAACUUCUUUUAAAACUUAUCCAGUCUGAGGUAUUCAAUUAUCAACAGCAGCAACACCAACAACAAAACAGAGUAACACAGUUGCACACAUCAGAAGUAAAAUAUGGUCAAGGAAAAGCAGGAUUCAUGUCUGGAGAGUAAAAGAAAGAUAUAAGUGGAUGAGAUAAUAAAAUAUCUUUACAAAGAAUAAAAUUGGAAGAACUGUUUGGAAAAGUUAAGUACUUGGAGUAAGCACCAUAGAUACAAGACAUAACAUCUGUGGAGAAGGCAGAAAUUGGGGCAAAAAGAAUGUAAGUGAUAAAGGAAUUCUGCAGUCCUAUGGCAGGAGGUAGGUCAGAAAGACCCUGUAGCAACAUUUACUUUUCCUCACACUUAGCUGCUCUUACACAGUGGUAGUUUUCAAAUUUUUACAUCUUUCUUAAGUUGCACUAUGGAGCCAGACGUGGUAGCACGUCUGUAGUCCCAGCUCCUUGGGAGGCUGAGGUAGACACUUGAGGUAGUUGGAGGCCAGCUUGGGCAACACAGACACCUUCUCCCCCUCAAAAGCCCUAUAGCUAUCAAUGUGUAUCUUAGUUUGACUUAGACAUUUAUACAGCAACUUUUUAAUAAUUUCAAAAUUUUAUUAUUUUUUGAGACAGGGCCUCAUUAUGCAGUCCAGGCUGGCUUCAACUCAAAAUCUUCCAAUCUCAGCGGGAUUACAGAUGUGUGCUCCAUGCACAAUCUUACUACUGUAUUUUUAAAACUUUUUUUUGGUGGUGCUUAUGAUCGAACUGAAGGUCUCAUGCAUGCUAGACAAGUACUCUGAGUUAUGUUCCCAUCCUUAAAAAAAGUUUACUAAUGUAUUUAAAUUUAUUUUUUUCUUUAAAUGUUCAAAAUGUCAGGCACAGAUUUUGUUAGUAUUUUAAUACUGUAUCAGGUAUCUCGGUAAAAACUCCUCCCCUCCAUCCUGUUAAACUACUGGCUUCCACUUAAUGAAUUCGGCCCACAUGAGUAAGUAGUCAAGAAGUAAAACAGGUAUAAGAAUACUUGUAUCUAGGCCUUCAAAAUAAUCAACGGUAAUUCUAGUUCAAAUUAAGUAACUAAACUCAGGUAACUGCCUUUGACUAAAGGUAAAUAAGCCUGUUUAUAUUCAAGAUAGGAAAAGCUGCAUAAACCAUUUUGUGCACUGGUUCACAAAUUUAAAUAAAUUUCAGUUAGUUUUAGAACAGUAACUGGAAGCACUGCAUGGUAUAGAAAUAGAGCUCUUACCUGGCCCUUAAUAGCUGUGUGACCUUGGGCAAAUCACCUUGACCACUCAAUCAUUUGAAAAGGAGGGAUGGGACAGAUCAUUUAUACUCAAUCUAUAGACUGCCACAAAUCCCUUAAUAAAAUUUUAUGGAAACUGUGUAUACACAUUCCACCCCCUGCCUCCCCUACUGGGGAUCACUCAGGACCUUGCACUUACCAGGCAGGCACGGUGCCACUGAGCUACAUCCCCGGCCCUUGUACAUGCACUUUUGGAGGGGAAGCUGGUCCAGUUUUCAUUAGGUUCUCACAGGUGACCUUGAUCCAAAAAUGAGCUUGCACUAUGAGGAAAUCACUUCUAAACUGCUCCAGUUCUACUUACGUUCCCUCACGUCAGAAUACUAGCAGUUCCCGAGUCCCUAGUAUAUAUACCCUGUAUAGCACCCUUCCUUGAAUGUGCACAAGAUCUGUGAAUAUAAUGAAUAUAACUGGGGCCGGGGAUUUAGCUCAGUGGUUUUGCCACCCGCUGCGCAAGCACAAGGACC
Molecule: long non-coding RNA, 3782 nt
Filed under: Heterocephalus glaber (naked mole-rat)
Lineage: Eukaryota; Metazoa; Chordata; Mammalia; Rodentia; Bathyergidae
Description: lncRNA (ENSHGLG00100036648.1)
Source: RNAcentral